Molecule: long non-coding RNA, 202 nt
Organism: Gekko japonicus
Lineage: Eukaryota; Metazoa; Chordata; Lepidosauria; Squamata; Gekkonidae
Exons: 3
Source: RefSeq, a predicted model, not a curated record
UCCUAAACCCUGCUCUGUCAGGCUGCUGGGAGCUGUGUGUGUUGUCUCAUCUUAUCAUCACCGCCACCCAAAAGGUGGCUUAUCCUCCGGCCAGAGACCCAGCAAGAUCACCUCGGGAUCCAAAGGCAGCAAGGAUUGAAAUGCAGGCUCCACGGAUUACAGCUUUGGACGCAUCCCACACCGUCUCUAUGGGCACUCCGCA